Salmo salar (Atlantic salmon) is the source of this 1115-nucleotide non-coding RNA. Lineage: Eukaryota; Metazoa; Chordata; Actinopteri; Salmoniformes; Salmonidae. The record is from RefSeq and is a predicted model, not a curated record.
UCAUAACAUCCAAUCACAGAGGUUUACAGCAGCUGACAGUUGUACCAUCAUUGCUAAUAACUUAAACUGCCUUAUUCAGAUAAAGACAAUCUCUGUACAAAUGUAGGAUCUUAAUUUGAUCAUCCUGUUGCAGGACAACGUUGCUGCAAUGCAGUUAAUUUUAAACUUGUAUUGUAUUUGAGAUUUAAAAAGGCUUUUGGAGAUUGUAAUAGAGGCUACUUCCUCUGCAAGAAAACCAGUCGUCCACAUCCCGUGACUGAAGUUAUGUGAUUUCCUCAUAGGAAAUUAAAAGCGUGUUUGAAGCCUACGCAGUUUCAAAACGGCUGUUGAAACUAUCGCAAACAUUUGUCAACAACAUUAGAAGUGGGAUAAAUGUGUUGAUUUGAAGGAAAGACGGGCAGACUGGGGUCCUGUCUCUAAAAUGAGUCUCUCUGGGGAGAGAGAGGAGGGGGGCCCUGCCUCUAAAAUGAGUCUCUCUGGGGAGAGAGAGGAGGGGGGCCCUGCCUCGAAAAGGAGUGUCUCUGGGGAACAUGGCACCAAAUCUAAGAGACCAAUCAAGCAGGAGAGACCAGCCUCCCCUGUUCCCAGCUGUGUGUCCAUGAAGAGUGACCAGUCUAUGGAUCCUCUUAUAUACUUUAGAGAGGGAGACUUUUCUACUGAACAAAGGUAAGAAGAACUCAUGGGUCAUGGUCAGUGAGUUAAACACCACUGUCUCUAGUCAUUUCUCCUCUCCCAUUUUCACAUUCCUUUUUGUUGUUUUCAUAAUCCGUAGGCUAAUCCUUCUGUCCAUUUUCAUAGUCCUAAAACAAUAUUAAACAAACACAACGUUCCCUCCCUGUGUGUGUGUGUGUGUGAAAGUGUGUGUGUUUGCACUCCCUGGACAAGGAAAUGAAAUCUCUAUCCUGAUUGCCUAGUCACUUUUGCCACUACCUACAUGUACAUAUUACCUCAAUUAUAGUCUCAUUAUUACCUCAACUACCUGGUACCCCUGCACAUUGACUCAGUACCUGUACUCCUUAUAGUCUCAUUAUUACCUCAACUACCUGGUACCCCUGCACAUUGACUCAGUACUGGUACUCCUUAUAGUCUCAUUAUUACCUCAACUACCUGGUACC